Molecule: long non-coding RNA, 1850 nt
Organism: Vulpes vulpes (red fox)
Lineage: Eukaryota; Metazoa; Chordata; Mammalia; Carnivora; Canidae
Source: Ensembl
CACACACACACACACACACACACUCACUCCAGUCUCCACCACACACACUCACUCACUCACUCCAGUCUCUACCUACCACAGGCACAGUAAUCACUGGGCUCCCACAUACAUCACAAAUUGCCACAUACCCCCCCAGUCUGUGACUCGCCACAGAGCCCAUAUUCUGAUCCUCUGGCCUCCCCACAUCACUGUCACCGCACCCCUCCCCCAGCACGGAUUUCCAUAAGCUGCAGCACCCGGGGACCCCGCAGCCCCCCGCCAGGAGGUCCUCCCGCGUCGCCGCCCAUUCCCAGAUCGCGGGUAACGGACGCCACCGUCACACCCUCCCAUCACCGACCCCCGUUAGGCCACCUCCGCCCGCCCCGCGCUCACCGCGGCGCUGCCCCCCGGCUGGGGCGCAGCCAUCUCGGCGGGACGCCCGGCCCCCUCGGCCGUCCCCGCGCUCCCCCUCGGGCCCACGCCCUCCGGCUUUGUGCGCACCCGCUCGCAGGCCGAGGCCGACAUGGCGGCGCUGGAGCGCGGCCUCAGCCGGGCCCGCGGCUGCCAUGGCGGCGCCCCUGGGCAGCCGGCUGGGCGCGGCCAUCUUGCCGAGGCUCCGCCGUACAGCGGCUCCCGGGCUCGCCGAGGGUCCUGAGCGGCGACGUCCGGAGGCUCGGCCGCGGGGACGCGGGAGGCGGGAGGCGGGAGGCCGUUCCCGUGGGUCACUGCGGCCCCUGCCCGCGGGCCCUGGGAGCGGGAGGGAUGGAGCGAGGCGGGAGGCGAAGCCCGAGGCUGCGCUCUGCACGGUGUCCUGGGGAAAGAGCGCUGAUCGCUCAAAUGCGUCUUUGCAUAGACGGGGUAAGAACAAUGAGAAAAAAAGGCCGCGGCAGGUUCAGUGAACACACGACUCCUCGGCGAGAACGCAAGUCCAAUGCAUGGAGAUCGAGUGCAGCCAAGAACCAAUGAUAUCACUCCCAGGAUAAGAUCCCAAACAGGUUGAUUUUGAGUUCAUAAACGUGGAGAUUAUCCUGGGUGGACCUGACCCAAUCAGGUGAGCCCUUACAAGGGACUGGCCCCUUCCUGAAGUCAAAAUUACAAAUAUAAACAGGCCAGUGGAGGAGCCACAUGGCAAGGACUUGAAAUCAGCCUCUGGGAGCUGAGAGUAGUUUUUGUGCUCUACAACUAGCAAGACAACAAGGACCUCUGCCCUCAGCAGCAAGGAAUGAUUUCUGCUAACAAUCUGAGGGAGCUUGGAAGCAUAUCCUUCCCUAGUGGAACCUCUAGAUGGUACACAAUCCAGCUAACACCUUGAUUUCACCUUUGUGUGACCUUGAGUCAUGCCACAGUCAGAUUUCUGACCUACUGAAAUCCUGAGAUAAUACAUUUGUGUUGUUUCAAUUCAGUAAAGUUAGUGAUAAUUUCUUAUGGAGCAACAGAAAACUAAAGCCUCGGUGUCCAUCGAAAGAUGAAUGGAUAAAGAAGAUGUGGUUUAUGUAUACAAUGGAAUAUUACUCAGCAAUUAGAAACGACAAAUACCCACCAUUUGCUUCAACGUGGAUGGAACUGGAGGGUAUUAUGCUGAGUGAAAUAAGUCAGUCGGAGAAGGACAAACAGUGUAUGUUCUCAUUCAUUUGGGGAAUAUGAAUAAUAGUGAAAGGGAAUAUAAAGGAAGGGAGAAGAAAUGUUGGGAAAUAUCAGGAAGGGAGACAGAACAUAAAGACUCCUAACUCGGGGAAANNNNNNNNGUGUUGGAGGGGAAUGGGUGACGGGCACUGAGGGGGACACUUGACGGGAUGAGCACUGGGUGUUUUUCUGUAUGUUGGUAAAUUGAACACCAAUAAAAAUUAAUUAAAAAAAAAAAAAAAGACUCA